GUUGGCUUGGAUAUUUUGCUUUUGUGCCUAUUGAUUUAUGAAAAUCUCACUAUUGUGGCUUGUAUGCUCAUAUAAAUAUUAAAAUAAAAGAGUUUCCGAAGGUGUUCUGUGUUAUUCAGUAACUAAUUAAGGAGGAUCUUUGACCGGGAUCUGAAAUUUGUUGGUUCACGUUUGAUACACAACACAAAAAUCUAAUAUCACACUGGUUGGCUUGGAUAUUUUGCUUUUGUGCCUAUUGAUUUAUGAAAAUCUCACUAUUGUGGCUUGUAUGCUCAUAUAAAUAUUAAAAUAAAAGAGUUUCCGAAGGUGUUCUGUGUUAUUCAGUAACUAAUUAAGGAGGAUCUUUGACCGGGAUCUGAAAUUUGUUGGUUCACGUUUGAUACACAACACAAAAAUCUAAUAUCACACUGGUUG
This 414-nucleotide long non-coding RNA is filed under the name Capsella rubella. Its description in RNAcentral is "long non-coding RNA (CRUB_LNC003580)". The record is from RNAcentral. Lineage: Eukaryota; Viridiplantae; Streptophyta; Magnoliopsida; Brassicales; Brassicaceae.